This 148-nucleotide non-coding RNA is filed under the name Pan troglodytes (chimpanzee). Lineage: Eukaryota; Metazoa; Chordata; Mammalia; Primates; Hominidae. The record is from Rfam by way of RNAcentral.
GCUGGGUGUGGUGGCAUGCACCUGUAGUCCCAGCUGCUCAGGAGGCUGAGGCAAGAGAAUCACUUGAACCCAGGAGGUGGAGGUUGCAGUGAGCCGAGAUCGUGCCACUGCACUCCAGCCUGGGUAACAGAGAGAGACCUUGUCUCAA